This 970-nucleotide long non-coding RNA is filed under the name Fragaria vesca (wild strawberry). Its description in RNAcentral is "long non-coding RNA (FVES_LNC002740)". The record is from RNAcentral. Lineage: Eukaryota; Viridiplantae; Streptophyta; Magnoliopsida; Rosales; Rosaceae.
CUCGCCAGACAAUUCCUUGAGCCUUAAUUAAUCGAUUCUCACUCACCAUAUAUUGUUUGGAGAAACCAAGACCAGCUGCCUUUGUUGCCAAAAUCCGAACAACCUGAUCGAAGACAUUGCUAUCUUCUCUCCUUCGAUUCUCUGUCAUCGGAGUUUCUCAUUGAAAGACGAAGACCACAACGAGGCAAAGGUUUGGCCACCGAUGUGACGUUGUGGGACAUUCGAACGACGGAUAAGGGAUCCGAGCUCCAUCGAUGCUCCCAAUGAGGAGGUUAAAGCUUUCUCCCCUUAAAUAAAUCACGAUUCUUCAGUUCUAGAGAGGGAGGGAGAGGGUUAGUACGUGAAGGUGGUUCUCCUUCCCUGAAGAGAGAGUUCUCCAAAUCCCCCUAAAAAGAUGAGGUCGGUGAAAUAUAUAACUGAGAAGGUCGGUGCCAUUCUCUUCUUCCUCCCUUUUCUCAAAUCUUCUCAACCUUUCCAAAUUAAUUUAAUAUUUUUUUUUUCAUAUAAAGUAUUUAUUUAUUAUUUCUAAAUUAUCCGGGUAUUAUACCUAAGCAGGUCUAGGCGACCUCUUAACGGCCCUAAAUGGGUCUCGGCAUCACCUUGGCGGCCUUAGACAGGUAUCGACAGACCCUUGGCGAGUCUAGGCGCUCCUAAGCGGGUCUAGCUGGUCUCGACGUGGAUCUAAGAGGGUUAAGGCGGUCCCUUGGUAGGUCAAGGCGGGUCAAAGCGGCCCUUUGAGGCCGUCAGGGGGUCAAGGCGGCCCCUAAGCGGGUCAAGCCAGGUCAAGGCGGGUCAACGCAGUCCAAGACUGUUCAAGGCAACCCCUUAACGAGUCAAGGCGGCCCAAGGUGGGUCAAGGCGACCCAAGACGGUUCAAGGCAGCCCCUUAAUGGGUUAAGGCGGGUCUAGGCAGGUCAAGGCUGACACGACCCACCCCGAAUUUCACCCUGAAACCCGGAGUAAGUCGUGC